Molecule: long non-coding RNA, 1130 nt
Organism: Homo sapiens (human)
Lineage: Eukaryota; Metazoa; Chordata; Mammalia; Primates; Hominidae
Gene: LDC1P
Product: leucine decarboxylase 1, pseudogene
Source: Ensembl
ACAUAUCUCUCACCAUGUCACAUGCACUGGCUCUGCUAGCUUCCACCUGGGCUCCAACUGCCAGACCCCCCCAGAGCUUCACACAAGCUAUCGCUGACUGCCGGUGCAUGUUGGAAAUGGGCCACAGGGCUGGGCAUGAUAUGAGCUGCCUGGACAUUGGAGGGGGCUUCCCCGGAAUGGAGGGCUCCGGGCCCAAGUUUGAGGAGGGAUAAUUCUAAUGCCUACCUGCAGGGUGCCUCGGGGAUGAAAGGACUGAUGCAGGUAAGGCGUUGGCACAGGCGCUGGCACAUCAACACGUGCUGGAUGAGUUAACCUCUUCCUGCUGUCCCUCCACCCCAUUCCAGUUGGCGAGAGUGAUCAGUGCUGCCCUGGCCCAGGACCUCCCUGAGGAGCGUGGUGUCAAGGUCAUCGCAGAGCCUGGCUGCUUCUAUGUGGAGUCUGUCUGCAUGGCCGCUGUCAACAUCAUUGCCAAGAGGGCUGUGCUGGAGCCCGGUGGGUGGGCCAGGAUGGCACUGGGUGGGGAUGCCACUGUCCAGGUGUCCCCAGGCCCUGGAGGAGAGGAAGGGCAGAGGGUUGGGCUCUGUCCCAGGAGCUGGGGGUCAGAGUAGUGACUGAGCACUCCCCAGGAGGCAGCCGGAAGCUGGUGUAUUAUCUCAAAGAUGGCCACUAUGGCUCCUUCCGCCUCUGCUACCGAGAGCCUGUCCCAAGGGUUCCCAUCGUGGUGAAGGUAAGGGGGCCACUCCAGCCCCGAGUCUAGUCCCUUACCUUGAGGUGCCUUGUGCCUCCCCUACUGGGAACAGUGGCUGUGCUGGACCCCAGAGGCAGGUCCUGGCCUGCUGCUUAGAACACAUGUGGACACGUACAUGAUGUGUGCUCACAGAUCAGAGCGUGUGCAGCAGCUGGAUAUGUAGGCCUCCUCAGGCAAAGGGGCGAUCACCAGAACACAAAGGCGUGGGUUGUUUUCCAAAAUAUUGAAGUUCUUCUCCCUGGUGGCUUAAGAGCCAUUCCUUCUUCCUGGUGGUUAAAGAGCUAUUCCCCCGAGUCCACCAGGGGCCUCCCUGCCGACACUCUUGCUGCUCAGUCCCUCCCACGAUCUGGCAACAAAGCUUCAAUACCUGACCCUGUAGGGC